CAAAUGUCAUAUAUAUAAUUUCACUUUUCAUUAUAAAGAUCAAAAUAAUCAUUGCACACUUCAUAUGUAUAGUUCCAAAUCAUCAUGAGUUAAAACAUCAUAAUUUUUUUACGUCAUCAAAGAGUACAAUUGACUUCUCCCUCUUUGUCAUCAACAAAAAUGAGAUAUGUGCAAGUUUUUACUUCUCUUUCGAAUAUGCAAG
RNAcentral lists this long non-coding RNA (202 nucleotides) under Musa acuminata (dwarf banana). Its description in RNAcentral is "long non-coding RNA (MACU_LNC010535)". Lineage: Eukaryota; Viridiplantae; Streptophyta; Magnoliopsida; Zingiberales; Musaceae. The record is from RNAcentral.